RNAcentral lists this ribosomal RNA (587 nucleotides) under uncultured bacterium. Its description in RNAcentral is "partial 16S ribosomal RNA". It matches the Rfam family "Bacterial small subunit ribosomal RNA", at positions 355 to 935 of the family's 1533-position model. The record is from RNAcentral.
UGGGGAAUUUUGGACAAUGGGCGCAAGCCUGAUCCAGCCAUGCCGCGUGCGGGAAGAAGGCCUUCGGGUUGUAAACCGCUUUUGUCAGGGAAGAAAUCUUCUGAGUUAAUACCUCGGGAGGAUGACGGUACCUGAAGAAUAAGCACCGGCUAACUACGUGCCAGCAGCCGCGGUAAUACGUAGGGUGCAAGCGUUAAUCGGAAUUACUGGGCGUAAAGCGUGCGCAGGCGGUUUUGUAAGACAGAGGUGAAAUCCCCGGGCUCAACCUGGGAACUGCCUUUGUGACUGCAAGGCUUGAGUGCGGCAGAGGGGGGAUGGAAUUCCGCGUGUAGCAGUGAAAUGCAUAGAUAUGCGGAGGAACACCGAUGGCGAAGGCAAUCCCCUGGGCCUGCACUGACGCUCAUGCACGAAAAGCGUGGGGAGCAAAACAGGAUUAGAUACCCUGGUAGUCCACGCCCUAAAACGAUGUCAACUGGUUGUUGGGAAGGUUCCUUCUCAGUAACGGAGCUAACGCGUGAAGUUGACCGCCUGGGGAGUACGGCCGCAAGGUUGAAAACUCAAAUGAAUUGACGGGGUCAUAGCUGUUU